GAUGAACGCUGGCGGCGUGCCUAAUACAUGCAAGUCGAGCGAACAGACGAGGAGCUUGCUCCUCUGACGUUAGCGGCGGACGGGUGAGUAACACGUGGAUAACCUACCUAUAAGACUGGGAUAACUUCGGGAAACCGGAGCUAAUACCGGAUAAUAUAUUGAACCGCAUGGUUCAAUAGUGAAAGACGGUUUUGCUGUCACUUAUAGAUGGAUCCGCGCCGCAUUAGCUAGUUGGUAAGGUAACGGCUUACCAAGGCGACGAUGCGUAGCCGACCUGAGAGGGUGGUCGGCCACACUGGAACCGAGACACGGUCCCGACUCCUACGGGAGGCAGCAGUAGGGAAUCUUUCGCAAUGGGCGAAAGCCUGACGGAGCAACGCCGCGUGAGUGAUGAAGGUCUUCGGAUCGUAAAACUCUGUUAUUAGGGAAGAACAAAUGUGUAAGGAACUAUGCACGUCUUGACGGUACCUAAUCAGAAAGCCACGGCUAACUACGUG
This 497-nucleotide ribosomal RNA is filed under the name uncultured bacterium. RNAcentral describes it as "partial 16S ribosomal RNA". It matches the Rfam family "Bacterial small subunit ribosomal RNA", at positions 28 to 507 of the family's 1533-position model. The record is from RNAcentral.